GAUGAACGCUGGCGGCGUGCUUAACACAUGCAAGUCGAACGGGAAACAUUUCAUUGAGGCUUCGGCGGAUUUGGUCUGUUUCUAGUGGCGGACGGGUGAGUAACGCGUGGGUAACCUGCCUUGUACUGGGGGAUAACAGCCAGAAAUGGCUGCUAAUACCGCAUAAGCGCACGGGACCGCAUGGUCCUGUGUGAAAAACUCCGGUGGUAUAAGAUGGACCCGCGUUGGAUUAGCUAGUUGGCAGGGCAGCGGCCUACCAAGGCGACGAUCCAUAGCCGGCCUGAGAGGGUGAACGGCCACAUUGGGACUGAGACACGGCCCAGACUCCUACGGGAGGCAGCAGUGGGGAAUAUUGCACAAUGGGGGAAACCCUGAUGCAGCGACGCCGCGUGAAGGAAGAAGUAUCUCGGUAUGUAAACUUCUAUCAGCAGGGAAGACAAUGACGGUACCUGACUAAGAAGCCCCGGCUAACUACGUGCCAGCAGCCGCGGUAA
This 494-nucleotide ribosomal RNA is filed under the name uncultured bacterium. RNAcentral's name for it is "partial 16S ribosomal RNA". It matches the Rfam family "Bacterial small subunit ribosomal RNA", at positions 28 to 523 of the family's 1533-position model. The record is from RNAcentral.